CGCCUGGGGAGUACGGCCGCAAGGUUAAAACUCAAAUGAAUUGACGGGGGCCCGCACAAGCGGUGGAGCAUGUGGUUUAAUUCGAUGCAACGCGAAGAACCUUACCUGGUCUUGACAUCCACAGAACUUUCCAGAGAUGGACUGGUGCCUUCGGGAACCGUGAGACAGGUGCUGCAUGGCUGUCGUCAGCUCGUGUUGUGAAAUGUUGGGUUAAGUCCCGCAACGAGCGCAACCCUUAUCCUUUGUUGCCAGCGAUUAGGUCGGGAACUCAAAGGAGACUGCCAGUGAUAAACUGGAGGAAGGUGGGGAUGACGUCAAGUCAUCAUGGCCCUUACGACCAGGGCUACACACGUGCUACAAUGGCGCAUACAAAGAGAAGCGACCUCGCGAGAGCAAGCGGACCUCAUAAAGUGCGUCGUAGUCCGGAUUGGAGUCUGCAACUCGACUCCAUGAAGUCGGAAUCGCUAGUAAUCGUGGAUCAGAAUGCCACGGUGAAUACGUUCCCGGGCCUUGUACACACCGCCCGUCACACCAUGGGAGUGGGUUGCAAAAGAAGUAGGUAGCUUAACCUUCGGGAGAGCGCUUACCACUUUGUGAUUCAUGACUGGGGUGAAGUCGUAACAAGGUAACCGUAGGGGAACCUGCGGUUG
RNAcentral lists this ribosomal RNA (650 nucleotides) under Salmonella enterica subsp. enterica. Its description in RNAcentral is "bacterial SSU rRNA". It matches the Rfam family "Bacterial small subunit ribosomal RNA", at positions 874 to 1520 of the family's 1533-position model. Lineage: Bacteria; Pseudomonadati; Pseudomonadota; Gammaproteobacteria; Enterobacterales; Enterobacteriaceae. The record is from RNAcentral.